MicroRNA precursor from Oreochromis aureus, 64 nucleotides. Lineage: Eukaryota; Metazoa; Chordata; Actinopteri; Cichliformes; Cichlidae. The record is from Ensembl.
GAUGUAGAGGGCUGACUGUGGACAGAGAUGAGUAUGGUUGUCCACAGCAGCACUUCUGCACACU